This 843-nucleotide ribosomal RNA is filed under the name Triticum aestivum (bread wheat). Its description in RNAcentral is "partial small subunit ribosomal RNA". The record is from RNAcentral. Lineage: Eukaryota; Viridiplantae; Streptophyta; Magnoliopsida; Poales; Poaceae.
AUGUUGCGUAUGAAGUGUGGUCUGAAAGAUAGCAUAUAUGUCACUGUAGAAGAAAAGGUUGCUAUGUUCUUGUUGGUGGUUGGACAUGGUAUUAAAAUGAGAGUGUUGCGUGGCACUUACAAGCGUUCUUUAGAGACUAUCAGUAGGCACUUCUCGAAUGUGUUGGCAGCCAUUCUUUCCCUAACUGGGGAGUUUAUCAAGCUUCCUGAUCCUUCUAUUGAACCUCCGGAUGAUUACAAAUGGAAGUGGUUUGGAAAUGCCUUGGGAGCACUAGAUGGGUGUCAUGUUGAUGUUUCUGUCGUUGCGGCUGACGAAGGGAGGUAUAGGAACAGAAAGCAAGAUGUCACCACUAACAUGCCAGGCGUUGUUGACUGGAACAUGAAAUUUCUUUAUGUUCUACCUGGCUGGGAGGGAUCUGCAUCUGACUCCAGAGUGUUGCGUGAUGCAAUGAGAAACGAUCGUCAAGAUGCAUUUGUUAUACCUCAUGGUAUGAUUGUUUCUCUUGGCAUUUUGUUUCUUUUUGUGUUAAUGUUAGCUAAAUCUAAUUGGUGCACCAUAGGAAAAUACUACUUAGUGGAUGCUGGCUACACCAAUGGACCUGGCUUUCUGGCUCCAUUCAUAUCGACUAGGUACCACUUGAAAGAGUGGGUCUCAAGUCAACAACAACCCCAAACUGACAAAGAGUUGUAUAACUUGCGCCAUUCUCGGGCUAGAAAUGUUGUGGAGAGAACUUUUGGCCUAUGGAAGAAAAAAUGGGCCAUUCUACGAAUUCAAUCUUUCUUUGACAUAAAGGACCAGGUAACAAGUGUCCAUAUGGUGUUGAAUAACAUAUGGACUGUAUGA